Hydra vulgaris (swiftwater hydra) is the source of this 671-nucleotide non-coding RNA. The record is from RefSeq and is a predicted model, not a curated record. Lineage: Eukaryota; Metazoa; Cnidaria; Hydrozoa; Anthoathecata; Hydridae.
AGUUUUCAUUUUAUAAUUUAAGAAAAAUGGUUAAAGAUUGUUAAAAAUUGCUUAACACAAACAUAAAUAUAUAAAAGCAUAUCUAUACAGAAUAAAUUUCAGCUCAGUCAGUGGCCAAAUUUGGACAUUUUUAAGUCAGUUGUCAGAGUAAUAAAUCAUUAAAAAACUUUUUUAAUCAAUAGAGGUAUUUUAGUGGACAAAUAUCCAGUGGUAUAAAAUUUUUUCUAAGUCUCCCUUGUAAACAUUUUCAAAACAUGACAGCUAUGUGCAUACACAUAAAAACUAUAUAUAUGUGUGUGUGUGUGUGUGUGUGUGUGUGUGUGUGUGUGUGUGUGUGUGAAUAAUGUAUAUAUAAUGAUUUAUAUAUACAUUGUUUACAUAUACAUUAGGUUUGAAGCAGAGGCAGUUGUUCCAUCUUGUUCGAAAAAAGAUGGAUGGUUAUUUUGGUCAACUUGUGUUCAUGCAAUGAAAGCUACCUAUAAUAAUUUUUCAAUCUUUGAUUCCUGUUACAAACUUAGACUUAAAAGAGUUAAAGUAACUGGAGAUAAAGAAGUAUGUGCUGGAUUUAGUUUCACGACUAAAGAGGACUCCGAAGAAGAAUGUAAGUAAUUAUGUUUGUGAAUAAUAUUGUUUCUCUUCGGAUUUAACUUUUCUUUGUUUUUUAUACAGUA